This 375-nucleotide ribosomal RNA is filed under the name uncultured bacterium. RNAcentral's name for it is "bacterial SSU rRNA". It matches the Rfam family "Bacterial small subunit ribosomal RNA", at positions 521 to 896 of the family's 1533-position model. The record is from RNAcentral.
UAAGACGAACCGUGCGAACGUUGUUCGGAAUCACUGGGCUUAAAGGGCGCGUAGGCGGUUCUCCAAGUCAGGGGUGAAAUCCUGCGGCUUAACCGUAGAAGUGCCUUUGAUACUGGAGAUCUUGAGGGAGGUAGGGGUCCGUGGAACUUCUGGUGGAGCGGUGAAAUGCGUUGAUAUCAGAAGGAACGCCGGUGGCGAAAGCGACGGACUGGAUCUCUUCUGACGCUGAGGCGCGAAAGCUAGGGGAGCAAACGGGAUUAGAUACCCCGGUAGUCCUAGCCCUAAACGAUGGGUACUAGAUUGUAAACUAACAUGGGUCUACAGUCGAAGCAAAAGUGUUAAGUACCCCGCCUGGGGAGUAUGGUCGCAAGGCUG